Molecule: ribosomal RNA, 507 nt
Filed under: uncultured bacterium
Lineage: Bacteria
Description: partial 16S ribosomal RNA
Rfam family: Bacterial small subunit ribosomal RNA (bases 20-332)
Source: RNAcentral
GACGAACGCUGGCGGCGUGCUUAACACAUGCAAGUCGAACGGAAAGGCCCUGCUUUUGUGGGGUGCUCGAGUGGCGAACGGGUGAGUAACACGUGAGUAACCUGCCCUUGACUUUGGGAUAACUUCAGGAAACUGGGGCUAAUACCGGAUAGGAGCUCCUGCUGCAUGGUGGGGGUUGGAAAGUUUCGGCGGUUGGGGAUGGACUCGCGGCUUAUCAGCUUGUUGGUGGGGUAGUGGCUUACCAAGGCUUUGACGGGUAGCCGGCCUGAGAGGGUGACCGGACAGCGCGGGUGAAAGAUAUGACAAAGACAUCGAGGGGAGGAAGGGGUGGGGAAGAGGGCAGAGGGGGGGGAGGCGUGAGGGAGCAGCGCGGGGGGGAGGAUGAGGGUCUUGGGGUGGUAAGCGGGUGGGGAGGGGGAGGAAGAGUGGGGGAGGGAAAGGGGAAAAGAAGCACCGGCUAGCAACGGGACAGAAUCCGAGGUACUAAACAAGAGAACACUUAUGAAC